GACAUGACGUUGACAGGGACAGUACAAUUUUUCUAAAACUUUCUUAAGCGAGCCGGGGAUGGUGAAAGCCUGGUAAAGCAGAAAAAUUGGAAGAUCACCCUCGAGUUCCGGACCGAAUUCCUUAACGGAUAGUAGGCUCAGGCGUAUUAUUCACGUUACGAAUGGUUAAGAGGAUAGUACUGUUUUUCGUGCCGUACUAUUUAUCAGGGUGGUACCGCGGGAAUUAAACCUUCUCGUCCCUAUU
This 244-nucleotide non-coding RNA is filed under the name Neobacillus vireti. Its description in RNAcentral is "Bacillus vireti T-box sequence". It matches the Rfam family "T-box leader". Rfam says of the family: Uncharged tRNA acts as the effector for transcription antitermination of genes in the T-box leader family. Lineage: Bacteria; Bacillati; Bacillota; Bacilli; Caryophanales; Bacillaceae. The record is from RNAcentral.